CUUCUUAGUAAAAUUGAUAUUUAGAUGGAAACCCAAGGACAAUUUUGUCCUCUAUAAACUGAAGAAAAAAAAAGCAUUGAAGGCCCACUAAACAAUACCCUCUCCAUGUGCCCUUUGUCUUGUCCAUGACUAGAAAAACAUCUCUUCCCUACUUGGUCCAAAUUCACUAACAGACGACACCUUCUAAAACCUUAUUCUCGUUUGAUGACAUGACCAACCUGUCCCCUUGGUUUGUCCACUUGCCUUCUUGGCUAGAUUGCAUGGAGAUGGAAAACGAUACGACACUUGAAGAUUCAUUAAACAACAAUUGCGAUUAAGAAUUAGUAUAUUCACACCACAAUUUUUAUUGUUUGCAACACAUUUUAAUUGUGAGGACAUAAUACACGCAUAAUAGUUCUAUAUAGUAGCUGCACGUAAUUCUGUAAAAUAAACGAAAAACUCAGCUCGUAUAUGGAAAAAAUACUAACACUAAUAAUUUGUAAAGUAUCAAACAAAUUGUAAUCCUGGAUGACAUGCAAUGAACGGCAAGUUCUGGUAAAUGCUUUUCAAAUACACAAGAACACAAAGAUGCAAGACCCCUAAUUACUCAAAUUACAAUCAUGUCGGCAUAAGAGGAGAAACUAUAACAGCACGUUCAGUAAAGAAAAUUGGACAAUAGUCAAGAAUAAAAAGGAGUUCAAAUCAUGUUCACUAUACAACAAGGUUACGUCUAGCGUUGCGCACCAAAUAUGCCCUCAAAGAAUUAUAUGAAACAAAAAACUUGCAAUCAAAUUUUCAUUCCUUUCCAGUUCUGAUCAAGCAACGGAAUCACUAGUGUAAAGAGUAGCUAGAUAUAAGAACACGCACGAACCAGAAGAUAAAUUCCAGAUGAAGGUCCUGAGUUGGUGAGUUGGAGUGUUGGCCAAUUAUCUAGGAGAAUUGACGUUGAUUGACUAUGCUUUCCUGGACUUCCUCCCUUCCAUAAUUGCUGCUUCAGCU
RNAcentral lists this long non-coding RNA (978 nucleotides) under Olea europaea subsp. europaea. The record is from RNAcentral. Lineage: Eukaryota; Viridiplantae; Streptophyta; Magnoliopsida; Lamiales; Oleaceae.